RNAcentral lists this ribosomal RNA (253 nucleotides) under uncultured bacterium. RNAcentral's name for it is "partial 16S ribosomal RNA". It matches the Rfam family "Bacterial small subunit ribosomal RNA", at positions 524 to 776 of the family's 1533-position model. The record is from RNAcentral.
UACGAAGGGGGCUAGCGUUGCUCGGAAUCACUGGGCGUAAAGCGCACGUAGGCGGCUUGUUAAGUCAGGGGUGAAAUCCUGGAGCUCAACUCCAGAACUGCCUUCGAUACUGUAGAGCUCGAGUUCGGGAGAGGUGAGUGGAACUGCGAGUGUAGAGGUGAAAUUCGUAGAUAUUCGCAAGAACACCAGUGGCGAAGGCGGCUCACUGGCCCGAUACUGACGCUGAGGUGCGAAAGCGUGGGGAGCAAACAGG